RNAcentral lists this unclassified non-coding RNA (193 nucleotides) under soil metagenome. Its description in RNAcentral is "partial contains 5.8S ribosomal RNA, internal transcribed spacer 2, and large subunit ribosomal RNA". The record is from RNAcentral.
AACGCACGAGACCUGCGGACCUGCGGAGGGAUCAUUACCGAGUUAUCCAACUCCCAACCCCUGUGAAUUAUACCUUUAAUUGUUGCUUCGGCGGGACUUCGCGCCCGCCGGGGACCCAAACCUUCUGAAUUUUUUAAUAAGUAUCUUCUGAGUGGUUAAAAAAAUGAAUCAAAACUUUUAGCAACGGAUCUCU